ACCGGCAGCUCAAGUGGUGGCCAUUUUUAUUGGGCCUAGAGCUCGUGGACGGUUUGAUAAGACUCUGGGGAGAUAUCGCAGAUUAAAUGUGGGACUUGCUGGAGAUACUAUUAGACUUGAGGUCGGGAGAGGUUAGGGGUACUCCCAGGGUAGGGGUGAAAUCCUAUAAUCCUGGGAGGACCACCUGUGGCGAAGGCGCCUAACUGGAACGAACCUGACGGUGAGUAACGAAAGCCAGGGGCGCGAACCG
Molecule: ribosomal RNA, 250 nt
Filed under: uncultured prokaryote
Description: partial 16S rRNA
Rfam family: Archaeal small subunit ribosomal RNA
Source: RNAcentral